AGAGUUUGAUCCUGGCUCAGGAUGAACGCUGGCGGCAUGCCUAAUACAUGCAAGUCGAACGAGAGACCUUCGGGUCUCUAGUGGCGAACGGGUGAGUAACACGUAGGGAACCUGCCCGUGCACCGGGAAUACGCUCUGGAAACGGAGAACAAAUCCCGAUGUACAGGAAGGAGGCAUCUUCUUUCUGUGAAACAUCCUUUAGGGGAUGGGGCGCGGAUGGACCUGCGGUGCAUUAGUUGGUUGGCGGGGUAAAGGCCCACCAAGACGAUGAUGCAUAGCCGGCCUGAGAGGGCGGACGGCCACAUUGGGACUGAGACACGGCCCAGACUCCUGCGGGAGGCAGCAGUAGGGGAUUUUCGUCAAUGGGCGCAAGCCUGAACGAGCGAUGCCGCGUGAGUGAAGAAGGCCUUCGGGUCGUAAAGCUCUGUUGCGGGGGAAAAAAGGCAGCAUCAGGAAAUGGGUGCUGACUGAUGGUGCCCCGCCAGAAAGUCACGGCUAACUACGUGCCAGCAGCCGCGGUAAUACGUAGGUGGCGAGCGUUAUCCGGAAUGAUUGGGCGUAAAGGGUGCGCAGGCGGUCCUGCAAGUCUGGAGUGAAACGCAUGAGCUCAACUCAUGCAUGGCUUUGGAAACUGGAGGACUGGAGAGCAGGAGAGGGCGGUGGAACUCCAUGUGUAGCGGUAAAAUGCGUAGAUAUAUGGAAGAACACCAGUGGCGAAGGCGGCCGCCUGGCCUGUUGCUGACGCUGAGGCACGAAAGCGUGGGGAGCAAAUAGGAUUAGAUACCCUAGUAGUCCACGCCGUAAACGAUGAGGACCAAGUGUUGGGGGUGAAACCUCAGUGCUGAAGUUAGCGCAGUGAGUCCUCCACCUGGGGAGUACGCCGGCAACGGUGAAACUCAAAGGAAUUGACGGGGGCCCGCACAAGCGGAGGAACAUGUGGUUUAAUUCGAUGAUACGCGAGGAACCUUACCCGGGCUCAAACGCAGGAUGACGGGUCCCGAAAGGGGCCUUUCUUCGGACAUUCUGCGAGGUGCUGCAUGGUUGUCGUCAGCUCGUGCCGUGAGGUGUCGGCUUAAGUGCCAUAACGAGCGCAACCCCUGUCCACAGUUGCCAGCAGGUAAAGCUGGGGACUCUGUGGAGACUGCCGGCGCAAGCUGCGAGGAAGGCGGGGAUGACGUCAAAUCAGCACGGCCCUUACGUCCGGGGCGACACACGUGUUACAAUGGCAGGUACAGCGGGAUGCCACGGGGCGACCCGGCGCUGAACCCGAAAACCUGUCUCAGUUCGGAUUGGAGUCUGCAACCCGACUCCAUGAAGCUGGAUUCGCUAGUAAUCGCGCAUCAGCCACGGCGCGGUGAAUACGUUCCCGGGCCUUGCACUCACCGCCCGUCAA
RNAcentral lists this ribosomal RNA (1393 nucleotides) under uncultured bacterium. RNAcentral describes it as "bacterial SSU rRNA". It matches the Rfam family "Bacterial small subunit ribosomal RNA". The record is from RNAcentral.